RNAcentral lists this non-coding RNA (31 nucleotides) under Mus musculus (house mouse). Lineage: Eukaryota; Metazoa; Chordata; Mammalia; Rodentia; Muridae. The record is from RNAcentral.
UCGAACUCAGAAUUCCGCCUACCUCUGCCUC